UUCCUUUUGUAAUGAGACUUUCGUCAGGUUGCUUUUAGGAUCUUUCAUUAGUGUUCUACAGUUUCACUAUGAUGUGUCUAAGUGUGAAUUUUAUUUAUACUGGUUGAGAUUCAUUGGCCUUCUGAUUCUGAAAUGGCUUUUGUCUUGCAUUAGUUCUAGAAAAUUAUCUUUUUGGAUAAUUCUUCCUGGUUCAUUGGUGGUUGUUGGUUGGUUUUUUGUUUUUUUUUUUUUAGUUUCCCAAGAAAACCUCCCUCCCUUUCAUAGUUUUGAUCUCUGCCACCUGUGCUGCAUUGCAUUUUGCCUAAUUUCCUCAGAUCUUUCUUCCAGUUUGUUAAUGAUCUGGUCAACUGUGUCUAAUUUGCUCUUAAACCUCCAUUGAGUUUCUUCUUUCAAUUAUUUUUCUUUUCAUCUUUGAUGGUUUAUUUUUCUUUUACCAUUUUUCAAUGCCAACUUGUAUUCUUUAAACUUAUUUUAUAUUCUAUUUUGAAUCCAUCUACUUCUGUGCCACCACCAUUCUUGCCCAGCUGGUAGAUGUGUGGACAAAGGAAGAGGUACAGGUAUCUUUCGAGUAUCCUAAAGAGGUCAUGUGGGAAGUAAAUCUGCUUCCAGUACCACUGCUAACACAGGAGCAAUCCCAAAUUGGAUUCACCUCUGCAGUAAAAAGGCUUUAAUCAGGUGUGUGUCUAGAAGAAAGCAUCAGCAUAGCAAUAUCACCAGCCAGACUCUCCACAGCUUUCUAAAGUGAACAUGGCAAGACUAAAACAUUCUGCUGAGUCCUGAAAGGCUUCCUUUGGUAUAUAUAUUUAAGAAGGUAUUGGUUAAAGCCAUUCCCCAUUGCUAAACUUUAUGUUAUCAAAUUGAGGAAAAUAUGGACCUUUCUAAAGUUACCAAAUUAAAAAAAUCACCUUGAUGGAAAACAAGGAAGGUUUUUUUUUUUCUCUUUCAUGUUGCAUUUUUAAGUAAAAUGAAACAGAAAUCAGAUUUAAAUAAAAGGAAUGAUUGAGAAUGUUGGCUAGUCUUUGAAAUGUUGUUAUUGACCUUAGUGUUCAAUUCCUUUAUCAUGUGAAAUUGAUUUAGUGUAAUUGAAAUGUUCCAAUUUUCUUUACUUAGAGUGUCUUGGAUAUUGCCUUCAGAAAUGCAAAAAUCAAAGAAUUACUGUCUUGUUUAUUCCACCUCCCAUCCCCACUCAAAUCCAUACUUCUUAUCACUACUGAUUCCGUAACUUAGACCCCAAACCUUCAUAUUUUCUUCCCUGUCCUUUUGCUCCCCUAGUCGAAACAAUUUCCCUCUUAAUAAUAACUUAGUGGUUAAGCACUAGGUUUGAGUCCUUUGCCAGUUAAUAAAUUUUUAUGGCCUUGGGCAAGUUACUUAACCUCUCUAAAGACUUUUUCUAGUACUUAUUUUGUAGGUUUAUGGGAUUAAAUGAAACAAAUUCAUGUAAACAACACAGUGCCUGCACUCAAUACGUGUUAGCUACCACUCAC
Long non-coding RNA from Acinonyx jubatus (cheetah), 1484 nucleotides. RefSeq lists it as uncharacterized. The record is from RefSeq and is a predicted model, not a curated record. Lineage: Eukaryota; Metazoa; Chordata; Mammalia; Carnivora; Felidae. The transcript has 3 exons.